GUUAGGAAUAGGGCUUGUGAAUUGCAUGAACUUUGGUUUGAUUAACCUGCACCUUGGACCUGUAGAACUGGAGCCUGCUGAUGUUCUUCCUCUCGAAAGGUGCUGGUUUUGACUUUGCUGAUCACUGCCACAGGAGCAUGGCCAACAAAUAUCCAGGAAUGGCAGCGGAUUAAGGCAGAGCUUCCAAGAACAACAGUGAAUUAAUCAGAUGGGGACAUCCAGCAAGCUUUGCUCUAAGUGUCUAGCUCAGCCCCUUUGUGGUGCUGAAACACGGGAUGUCAUUUAUCUGGUUCUACAAUUAUACUGACAUCAUCACUCCGGUUUCUGGAUGUUUUCCAAGCAUAUAUUAUAUAUUCCUGUGAAUCAGAAGCUUUAUGACAGUGG
Myiozetetes cayanensis is the source of this 384-nucleotide long non-coding RNA. RefSeq lists it as uncharacterized. The transcript has 4 exons. The record is from RefSeq and is a predicted model, not a curated record. NCBI's taxonomy places the organism in Eukaryota, Metazoa, Chordata, Aves, Passeriformes, Tyrannidae.